Long non-coding RNA from Acanthaster planci (crown-of-thorns starfish), 570 nucleotides. NCBI's taxonomy places the organism in Eukaryota, Metazoa, Echinodermata, Asteroidea, Valvatida, Acanthasteridae. The record is from RefSeq and is a predicted model, not a curated record.
GUUUUCAACGAACAAGGAAAAGAACAAAAAUUCCCCGGACGAUUCGACCCUGAACGAUGAUGACAAUCCUGCAAUGAUUAGCCAAUGUGUGAAAACACCUACGCAUUUUAUGGUUUGUUUGCUACACUGAAGACCAGAAAUACCGAAGCCUAGACAAGAGGAACGAAAUCAAACUGGUUAGUGUUUUUUGCAAGAAUGCCCGGGCACGUCUUUGCUUGAAAUCAAAGCUAAGGAGUACAUUAGCUCUGCAACUGGACUUCCUUUCAGAGUUUUCAGUGAGGCACCUGCUGCAGAUGCCAUGUUCUCCUUCUGCGUCUGUUUAGUUUUCCUUUUGAUCGCGCACUUGCCAUGUUCGCAGGGAACAGUCUGCAGUUACACAUGCCCACAGCGCUACACGACUUCUUGCGGAUUUUUGGGCUGGAGUCGUUGUACCAGAUACAGGGAUAGCACUUGCUAUCGGUGUUGCACAGGAUGGAGUGGAAGUACUUCACAUAAUUGUCCAUACCCCGUUUGUUUUGGCAGUACCAUUUGCCCCAAUGGAGGGACGUGUACAAGUCCCAAUUACUGCAG